UACGUAGGGUGCGAGCGUUAAUCGGAAUACUGGGCGUAAAGCGUGCGCAGGCGGUUUUGUAAGCCAGAUGUGAAAUCCCCGGGCUUAACCUGGGAACUGCGUUUGAAACUACAAGGCUAGAGUGUGGCAGAGGGGGGGUGGAAUUCCUGGUGUAGCAGUGAAAUGCGUAGAUAUCUGGAGGAAUACCGGUGGCGAAGGCGGCAUCCUGGACCGACAUUGACGCUGAACGGCGAAAGCUAGGGGAGCAAA
This 249-nucleotide ribosomal RNA is filed under the name uncultured bacterium. RNAcentral's name for it is "partial 16S ribosomal RNA". It matches the Rfam family "Bacterial small subunit ribosomal RNA", at positions 524 to 772 of the family's 1533-position model. The record is from RNAcentral.